This 505-nucleotide ribosomal RNA is filed under the name uncultured bacterium. RNAcentral describes it as "partial 16S ribosomal RNA". It matches the Rfam family "Bacterial small subunit ribosomal RNA", at positions 28 to 507 of the family's 1533-position model. The record is from RNAcentral.
GACGAACGCUGGCGGCGUGCCUAAUACAUGCAAGUAGAACGCACAGUUUAUACCGUAGCUUGCUACACCAUAGACUGUGAGUUGCGAACGGGUGAGUAACGCGUAGGCAACCUGCCUGGUAGCGGGGGAUAACUAUUGGAAACGAUAGCUAAUACCGCAUAAUAUUGAUUAUUGCAUGAUAAUUGAUUGAAAGAUGCUAUUGCAUCACUACCAGAUGGACCUGCGUUGUAUUAGCUAGUAGGUGAGGUAACGGCUCACCUAGGCGACGAUACAUAGCCGACCUGAGAGGGUGAUCGGCCACACUGGGACUGAGACACGGCCCAGACUCCUACGGGAGGCAGCAGUAGGGAAUCUUCGGCAAUGGACGAAAGUCUGACCGAGCAACGCCGCGUGAGUGAAGAAGGUUUUCGGAUCGUAAAGCUCUGUUGUAAGAGAAGAACGGGUGUGAGAGUGGAAAGUUCACACUGUGACGGUAUCUUACCAGAAAGGGACGGCUAACUACGUG